GCCCAAUGUUCUGCCGUUUCACACAGCUUUGCUUUAGUGUGUUGGUCUGAAUUGGGGAAAAUGCAUCUGAGGGAUCCCGGAGCCCAAUCCAAACAUCUGUCUGUUUCACCUCUGCGUCUCUUGAAAUGUGUUGGAAUGUGGAAUCUGAUCAAACUUGCUGCAAGUGUGGAAGAUACAGAAAGUUCAUACAUAAAAACUUGCCCCAGAGCAAAGGCCAGACUCUCCUCUUUCACUCGAGCAGCUGUUUCACAACAGCACAUUGCAUAGUGCACAAGAACUUGCAGUAAAACUAGCACAAAACCAUCCCACAGUCAUCUGAAUUCAGAAAGUGGCUUCAGAAUUAUACAAUGUCUUUAGGGAGGUCUUAAGAGUUUCCAAAUAUAAUUUUUUGAUUGUAUUCAAGAUCCCUUUCUCUGAUCUCCGAACACCUAAAUCACACCCAUAGAAUGUGUGAAGUAACAAAAGACUUAUGAGAAUACUUUUAUUAUGUAUUGAAAUGAUGAAUGAUGAUAUUCAUUUUGCAUAUUUACUAAUUAGAACAACAUACCAUUUGUGGUUAAAUAUUUGAGAUUCUUUGAAACAUACCUAAUGCAAUAUGUAGAACAGUAUUUUUGAAUAGUUUAUCUGCAGCUUCAGUGUUUUGAGUGGUUCACCUUCAAAAAGCCAAGGGUGUAAGGUGGUUUAAAUGGUAUUCAGGGCACUGAAUACCAGUUCCGAAUGGAAGGUGUUCUGAAUGGGUUGCAGGGUGUUGCUAGGGUGUGAAGUGGUUUGUAUGGUGUUCUGAAUAGUGUGUAGGGUGUGAGGUGGUUGGUAUGGUGUUCUGAAUAGUGUGUAGGGUGUGAGGUGGUUGGUAUGGUGUUCUGAAUAGUGUGUAGGGUGUGAGGUGGUUGGUAUGGUGUUCUGAAUAGUGUGUAGGGUGUGAGGUGUUUGGUGUGGUUUUCAGAAUGGUUUGUGGGGAGUUGCUAGGGUUUGAAAUGGUUGGUGUAGGUUCUGAAUAGUGUGUAGGGUGAGAGGUGGUUGGUAUGGUGUUCUGAAUAGUGUGUAGGGUGUGAGGUGUUUGGUGUGGUGUUCAGAAUGGUUUGUAAGAUGUUGUUAGGCUGUGAGUUGGUUGGUAAGGUGUUCUGAAUAGUGUGUAGGGUGUGAGGUGGUUGUUGUGGUGUUCUGAAUAGUGUGUAGGGUGUGAGGUGGUUGGUAUGGUGUUCUGAAUAGUGUGUAGGGUGUGAGGUGGUUGGUAUGGUGUUCUGAAUAGUGUGUAGGGUGUGAGGUGUUUGGUGUGGUUUUCAGAAUGGUUUGUGGGGAGUUGCUAGGGUUUGAAAUGGUUGGUGUAGGUUCUGAAUAGUGUGUAGGGUGAGAGGUGGUUGGUAUGGUGUUCUGAAUAGUGUGUAGGGUGUGAGGUGUUUGGUGUGGUGUUCAGAAUGGUUUGUAAGAUGUUGUUAGGCUGUGAGUUGGUUGGUAAGGUGUUCUGAAUAGUGUGUAGGGUGUGAGGUGGUUGUUGUGGUGUUCAGAAUGGUUUGUGUGGUGUUGCUAGGGUUUGAGGUGGUUGUUAAGGUUCUCUUAAUAAUUUGUAGGGUGUUGCUAGGGUGCUCUGAACAGUAUGUAAAAUGUUGA
Carassius gibelio (silver crucian carp) is the source of this 1608-nucleotide long non-coding RNA. RefSeq lists it as uncharacterized. The record is from RefSeq and is a predicted model, not a curated record. Lineage: Eukaryota; Metazoa; Chordata; Actinopteri; Cypriniformes; Cyprinidae. The transcript is spliced from 3 exons.